This 675-nucleotide ribosomal RNA is filed under the name uncultured bacterium. Its description in RNAcentral is "bacterial SSU rRNA". It matches the Rfam family "Bacterial small subunit ribosomal RNA", at positions 32 to 698 of the family's 1533-position model. The record is from RNAcentral.
AACGCUAGCUACAGGCUUAACACAUGCAAGUCGAGGGGCAGCACGGGAGUAGCAAUACAACUGGUGGCGACCGGCGCACGGGUGAGUAACGCGUAUGCAACCUACCUAUCAGAGGGGAAUAACCCGGCGAAAGUCGGACUAAUACCGCAUAAAACAGGGACACCGCAUGGUGAUAUUUGUUAAAGAAAUUCGCUGAUAGAUGGGCAUGCGUUCCAUUAGGUAGUUGGUGAGGUAACGGCUCACCAAGCCGACGAUGGAUAGGGGAACUGAGAGGUUGGUCCCCCACACUGGUACUGAGACACGGACCAGACUCCUACGGGAGGCAGCAGUGAGGAAUAUUGGUCAAUGGGCGAGAGCCUGAACCUGCCAAGUCGCGUGAAGGAAGACGGCCCUAUGGGUUGUAAACUGCUUUUAUAAGGGAAUAAAGUGAGUCUCGUGAGACUUUUUGCAUGUACCUUAUGAAUAAGGACCGGCUAAUUCCGUGCCAGCAGCCGCGGUAAUACGGAAGGUCCGGGCGUUAUCCGGAUUUAUUGGGUUUAAAGGGAGCGUAGGCCGGAGAUUAAGCGUGUUGUGAAAUGUAGAGGCUCAACCUCUGCACUGCAGCGCGAACUGGUCUUCUUGAGUACGCACAACGUGGGCGGAAUUCGUGGUGUAGCGGUGAAAUGCUUAGAUAUC